GACGAACGCUGGCGGCGUGCUUAACACAUGCAAGUCGAACGGAAAGGCCCUGCUUUUGCGGGGUGCUCGAGUGGCGAACGGGUGAGUAACACGUGAGUAACAUGCCCUUGUCUUUGGGAUAACUUCAGGAAACUGGGGCUAAUACCGGAUAGGAGCUCCUGCUGCAUGGUGGUGGUUGGAAAGUUUCGGCGGUUGGGGAUGGACUCGCGGCUUAUCAGCUUGUUGGUGGGGUAGUUGCUUACCAAGGCUUUGACGGGUAGCCGGCCUGAGAGGGUGACCGGCCACAUUGGGACUGAGAUACGGCCCAGACUCCUACGGGAGGCAGCAGGGGGGAAUAUUGCAGAAUGGGCGGAAGCCUGAUGCAGCAACGCCGCGUGCGGGAUGACGGCCUUCGGGUUGUAAACCGCUUUCGCAUGUGACGAAGCGUGAGUGGCGGUAAUGGGUAAAGAAGCACCGGCUAACUACGUG
RNAcentral lists this ribosomal RNA (468 nucleotides) under uncultured bacterium. RNAcentral's name for it is "partial 16S ribosomal RNA". It matches the Rfam family "Bacterial small subunit ribosomal RNA", at positions 28 to 507 of the family's 1533-position model. The record is from RNAcentral.